Molecule: unclassified non-coding RNA, 597 nt
Filed under: Hevea brasiliensis (rubber tree)
Lineage: Eukaryota; Viridiplantae; Streptophyta; Magnoliopsida; Malpighiales; Euphorbiaceae
Source: RNAcentral
ACACACACACACACACGUAUAUAUCUAUCUAUGUGCAUUGCAAAGCUCUUUAAAUCUAACAAUUAAACACCUUCAGAAAUCUGUGAAGAUUACGUUGAUGCCACUUAUUUAAUUUUAAAGAGGAAAAGGAAAUAGAUAUUUGUUUGUGCAUCUGUGGAGAUGGUUGAAGACUAUGUUCCUUUGAAGAUUGAAUAUCUCCAGCAAGAUUUCAGAUGUCUGCCAAGAUUGCUAAUGUUAAAUAGUAAUAUCUUCCCAAACAACAUUGACAACUGCCAAUGCAAUUAUUUGCUGAUAACUAGCCUGGUGAUUGAUAUGCGUGAAUGCCCUUGCAUGUUUCAAAUUUGAAUGUGUUAUGGAAUGAAAUUCUUCCAAUGAAAAAUAUUAGGUUCGGGUAAUAUGCCUGGCCAUGAAUUGGCCUAACGUAAGAUUCUAUGUUUUGAUAUUUUAGGGAUAGAGAACUAAAGUCUCAUCUUUUUCAUGUUUGGUGAUCUGACUUUAUGCCUUUACCAGUAAAUUUGAAUACACGCUUGAUAAUAGCCUGGUAGAGUAACUGAUAUUUGCCAUUUGCUUUUUGCUUGCAGUUAUGAUCACUCAAUU